This 1353-nucleotide ribosomal RNA is filed under the name Synthesium sp. MBE-2017. Its description in RNAcentral is "SSU rRNA". It matches the Rfam family "Eukaryotic small subunit ribosomal RNA", at positions 423 to 1658 of the family's 1831-position model. The record is from RNAcentral. Lineage: Eukaryota; Metazoa; Platyhelminthes; Trematoda; Plagiorchiida; Brachycladiidae.
GGGGGCAGGCACGCAAAUUACCCAAUCCCGGCACGGGGAGGUAGUGACGAAAAAUACGGAUACGGGACUCAUCAGAGGCUCCGUAAUUCGAAUGAGUACAAUUCAAAUCCUUUAACGAGGAUCCACUGGAGGGCAAGUCUGGUGCCAGCAGCCGCGGUAACUCCAGCUCCAGAAGCGUAUAUUAAAGUUGUUGCAGUUAAAAAGCUCGUAGUUGGAUCUGGGUCGCAUGGCUACAUGCCGUUGCUUGUAUUCCUGGCUUGGUUACGACUGGGUCGGGUUUGCGAGUCGGKGUCGUGGUUGUGCASCCUUUCUGCCGUGUCUGUUUCGACAGGUGCUGACUGAAUCGGUGGGCUUGUCUCGCUGGUUUGUUGGCAUGCUUCCGGAUGCCUUUAAACGGGUGUCGGGGGCGGACGGCACGUUUACUUUGAACAAAUUUGAGUGCUCAAAGCAGGCCUGUGUGCCUGAAAAUUCUUGCAUGGAAUAAUGGAAUAGGACUUCGGUUCUAUUUUGUUGGUUUUCGGAUCCGAAGUAAUGGUUAAGAGGGACAGACGGGGGCAUUUGUAUGGCGGUGUUAGAGGUGAAAUUCUUGGAUCGCCGCCAGACAAACUACAGCGAAAGCAUUUGCCAAGGAUGUUUUCAUUGAUCUGGAGCGAAAGUCAGAGGUUCGAAGACGAUCAGAUACCGUCCUAGUUCUGACCAUAAACGAUGCCAACUGACGAUCCGUGGUGGCUCUUUUUUUGUCCCCGCGGGCAGUCCCCGGGAAACCUUUAAGUCUUUGGGCUCCGGGGGAAGUAUGGUUGCAAAGCUGAAACUUAAAGGAAUUGACGGAAGGGCACCACCAGGAGUGGAGCCUGCGGCUUAAUUCGACUCAACACGGGAAAACUCACCCGGCCCGGACACUGUGAGGAUUGACAGAUUGAUAGCUCUUUCUUGAUUCGGUGGUUGGUGGUGCAUGGCCGUUCUUAGUUGGUGGAGCGAUUUGUCUGGUUAAUACCGAUAACGAACGAGACUUUGGCCUGCUAAAUAGUAUGCCUGUCCUCUGUGCUCGUGCGGGUGGCGGUGCUCUUUGCCUCUUCGGGGGUAUUGGUGUCGUUCACCGGCGGGUGCUGCGCAGGUGUCUACUUCUUAGAGGGACAAGCGGCGCGACAGUCGCACGAAAAUGAGCAAUAACAGGUCUGUGAUGCCCUUAGAUGUCCGGGGCCGCACGUGCGCUACAAUGACGGUUUCAGCGAGUUUGGAAUCCUGGCCCGAAAGGGUUGGGCAAACUGAAUCAUAACCGUCGUGACUGGGACCGGGGUUUGCAAUUUUCCCCCUUGGACGAGGACUUCCUGCUAAGCACAAAUCAUGAGCUCG